Ictidomys tridecemlineatus (thirteen-lined ground squirrel) is the source of this 321-nucleotide non-coding RNA. Lineage: Eukaryota; Metazoa; Chordata; Mammalia; Rodentia; Sciuridae. The record is from RefSeq and is a predicted model, not a curated record.
GCGACGGAAACGCGCGCUCCCGACUGCGGCGGAGGCGGCGCUGGGCGUGGGGUCCCGGACUGGAGCGCCCAAGACACCCUCCCAACCCCAGGGCGCUGAGGCCGAGAGGAGUAUGCUGUUCUUGUGAAGUUACAACUCAGAAAUGGAAAACUAUGAUAUUUACUAUGAUGUUGAAGAAACUAGAAAGAGUCACAUAAAGUAGAGUCAAGAAUGGCCCACUUCAAGGGAGAAUUGCCUCAGAAUUUGAAUGAGUUUUGCCUCAGGCUUUCUGUGAAGCUAGAAUAUUUCCCAGGAGAUGCUGAUGCUGCUGUUCUCUGCCAC